CACAGCAGCCAAGUUUAUUGAUGCUGGGGCAAUCACAAUUGGUUGGUUGGUUUGAGAUAGGGUCUCACUUUGUCAUCCAGACUGGAGUGCAGUGGCACAAUCACAGUUCACUACAGCCUCAACCUCCCGGGCUCAAGCGAUCCUCCCACCUCAGCCACCUGAGUAGCUGGGACUACAGAUGCAUGCCACCAUGCCCAGCUAAUUGUUUGAUAUUUUGUAGAGACCGGGUGUUGCAAUGUACCCAAGCUGGUCGUGAACUCCUGAGCUCGAG
Molecule: long non-coding RNA, 271 nt
Filed under: Homo sapiens (human)
Lineage: Eukaryota; Metazoa; Chordata; Mammalia; Primates; Hominidae
Description: non-protein coding lnc-FOXL2-2:2
Source: RNAcentral